RNAcentral lists this ribosomal RNA (1343 nucleotides) under uncultured bacterium. RNAcentral's name for it is "16S ribosomal RNA". It matches the Rfam family "Bacterial small subunit ribosomal RNA", at positions 28 to 1378 of the family's 1533-position model. The record is from RNAcentral.
GACGAACGCUGGCGGCGUGCUUAACACAUGCAAGUCGAACGGAAAGGCCCUGCUUUUGUGGGGUGCUCGAGUGGCGAACGGGUGAGUAACACGUGAGUAACCUGCCCUUGACUUUGGGAUAACUUCAGGAAACUGGGGCUAAUACCGGAUAGGAGCUCCUGCUGCAUGGUGGGGGUUGGAAAGUUUCGGCGGUUGGGGAUGGACUCGCGGCUUAUCAGCUUGUUGGUGGGGUAGUGGCUUACCAAGGCUUUGACGGGUAGCCGGCCUGAGAGGGUGACCGGCCACAUUGGGACUGAGAUACGGCCCAGACUCCUACGGGAGGCAGCAGUGGGGAAUAUUGCACAAUGGGCGGAAGCCUGAUGCAGCAACGCCGCGUGCGGGAUGACGGCCUUCGGGUUGUAAACCGCUUUCGCCUGUGACGAAGCGUGAGUGACGGUAAUGGGUAAAGAAGCACCGGCUAACUACGUGCCAGCAGCCGCGGUGAUACGUAGGGUGCGAGCGUUGUCCGGAUUUAUUGGGCGUAAAGGGCUCGUAGGUGGUUGAUCGCGUCGGAAGUGUAAUCUUGGGGCUUAACCCUGAGCGUGCUUUCGAUACGGGUUGACUUGAGGAAGGUAGGGGAGAAUGGAAUUCCUGGUGGAGCGGUGGAAUGCGCAGAUAUCAGGAGGAACACCAGUGGCGAAGGCGGUUCUCUGGGCCUUUCCUGACGCUGAGGAGCGAAAGCGUGGGGAGCGAACAGGCUUAGAUACCCUGGUAGUCCACGCUGUAAACGGUGGGUACUAGGUGUGGGGUCCAUUCCACGGGUUCCGUGCCGUAGCUAACGCUUUAAGUACCCCGCCUGGGGAGUACGGCCGCAAGGCUAAAACUCAAAGGAAUUGACGGGGCCCCGCACAAGCGGCGGAGCAUGCGGAUUAAUUCGAUGCAACGCGUAGAACCUUACCUGGGUUUGACAUGGAUCGGGAGUGCUCAGAGAUGGGUGUGCCUCUUUUGGGGUCGGUUCACAGGUGGUGCAUGGCUGUCGUCAGCUCGUGUCGUGAGAUGUUGGGUUAAGUCCCGCAACGAGCGCAACCCUUGUUCACUGUUGCCAGCACGUUAUGGUGGGGACUCAGUGGAGACCGCCGGGGUCAACUCGGAGGAAGGUGGGGAUGACGUCAAGUCAUCAUGCCCCUUAUGUCCAGGGCUUCACGCAUGCUACAAUGGCUGGUACAGAGAGUGGCGAGCCUGUGAGGGUGAGCGAAUCUCGGAAAGCCGGUCUCAAUUCGGAUUGGGGUCUGCAACUCGACCUCAUGAAGUCGGAGUCGCUAGUAAUCGCAGAUCAGCAACGCUGCGGUGAAUACGUUCCCGGG